AUUUUUCAUAGUGUAGGGGCUAUCCCUUUACCUAAUUAGUGAUAGUCAAGUUAUGCAAAUCCAUGGUUUGGCAAUUGAGAAUUUUGCUUUUCAUUACAUUUUUCUGAUGCUUUGAUGACACAACAGGUGAUUGACUGAGGCAGAAAGUAAGGUAGGUGAAGCCCAGGGACUGGUGUUUCUCUGAGGUUUCAGAAUCCCAUGGUUUAAAAAAGAGUGAUUUGGUCAGGGAGUAGGAUGAUGAGAGUCCUGGGGGCUAUUAUGAAUGUUUUGAAAAGCUUAGUAGAGAUAAAAAGUUAUUCACCACACGAUUGUACAGUAUAUCACUUUUUUUUUCCUUUUUUGAUACUGAGGAUUUAACCAGGGAGCACCUAACCACUGAGCCUCAGGCUCCUUUGCCACUGGGAUUAUAGGUGUGCGCCAUGGUGCCUGGCUAUGUUUUUGGCAAGAGUUAUAGCAACCUUAGUUGUCUUAGAUGUUCAGAAACAGUGGCAGUGUGUGCACCUUUGAUAGAUAUGAGAACACAAUUUUAUUACCUAAUAAUUUGUGGUCACAUUAGAUUGAGUGGUCUUUGAUGAUGGCGGAAUUGAGAAAAUGCCAUUUAAAAGUAUAUAUCCUCUACUUUUUCUAGUCUGUUUACUUUUUUGUUGUUGUGAUGCCUUUUGCCUUAUUUUUUCCCUGCCUACCAUCUCUCCCUUCCCCACUUUGUCCUUUCUCCUGCCUUCCCUGCUGCAGCGUGUUCCUUAAUCAUGGCACACACAAGUUCACUGACAAAUCCAGUUGCGAGUUAGCUAGUAUUUUUUAAAUUAGUUUAAAAAAAAAAUAGAACCUACAACUUACAAAAGGAUAGUCUAGUUGAUCAGUGGAAGACUAGAGUCCAGAUAUAGAGCCACACAUACAUAUAUAAUCAAUUGAUUUUUGAUAAAAGUACAAAGCAAAUUUCAUAAAUAAAGGAUAAUAUAACAAAUGAAUCUGGAACAAGCAGAUGUUCAUAUGCAAAAAUGUAAAAAUCAAUGAAAUCUGGAUCCAUACUCAUACUAUAAUAACAAGAUGGGUGAUAGAUAUAAAUGUACAAUCUAAAAAU
This 1081-nucleotide long non-coding RNA is filed under the name Marmota monax (woodchuck). Lineage: Eukaryota; Metazoa; Chordata; Mammalia; Rodentia; Sciuridae. The record is from RNAcentral.